This is a long non-coding RNA of Cornus florida, 701 nucleotides long. RefSeq lists it as uncharacterized. NCBI's taxonomy places the organism in Eukaryota, Viridiplantae, Streptophyta, Magnoliopsida, Cornales, Cornaceae. The transcript is spliced from 5 exons. The record is from RefSeq and is a predicted model, not a curated record.
ACCCUGUACAUUUUAAAGACCAGACUAUCGACACCCAGCGGUUCAAAUAUAUUAAGGUUCUAGGCAGGUUAGACUUCUUUGCCCUUCUCUACACCAUCUCACUUUGCAAAACCCAGAUCUUUACUUCGUAGGCUUUGUUUGUGCCGUUCGAAAGGCAUUUCACUCAAACGUAACGACCUAUGGUUAGGGUUCUAGAGAUUGUUUUCCCUAUUCCUAUAUCUCAAGAAAUAAAGAGAUGGAUCCAGACUCAAUUAAAUCGACUCUGUCCAAUUUAGCAUUUGGAAAUGUAAUGGCAGCAGCAGCUCGUAAUUAUCAAAAGGAAUUGUUAUCUCAAGAAAGGGUACAGGAAUCUACCUCUGUUAAUGAGGAGGUUGAUCUUAAUGAGCUGAUGAACACCGAAAAUUUGGGGCGAUUUCAUUUCGGUGGUAAUUGGGAUUUUCAUUCCAAUUGAGGUACAGGACUCAGGAUUUGAAGAUUCCAUUGCUCCUUGGAUGGCUUACAGUUUCUAAGUUUCUAUUUUAUACAAGUGUUAGCAUAAGAUGCCUCUUUGUAGCCCUAUUUGUUUAAACUUGUAUUCGUUGAUUCGUAUAUGUAAAGUGUACGUAAGUGCACUCUUUUCAAUGUAUUUAACAUGUAUGAGAUGAGUCCGGAGGCCAAUGACAUGUAUCUCGUUUUCUAUGCACUUUUGUUUUUAAAGUUUU